Molecule: ribosomal RNA, 253 nt
Filed under: uncultured bacterium
Lineage: Bacteria
Description: partial 16S ribosomal RNA
Rfam family: Bacterial small subunit ribosomal RNA
Source: RNAcentral
UACGGAGGGGGCGAGCGUUAUUCGGAAUUAUUGGGCGUAAAGGGCAGGUAGGCGGCCUCAUAUGUCCUUUGUGAAAGCCCUCGGCUCAACCGAGGAACUGCAGGGGAAACUGUGGGGCUUGAGUCCGGGAGAGGGUAGCGGAAUUCCCAGUGUAGCGGUGAAAUGCGUAGAUAUUGGAAGGAACAUCAGUGGCGAAAGCGACUUCCUGGACCAGUACCGACGUUCAGGCACGAAAGCGUGGGGAGCAAACAGG